Molecule: non-coding RNA, 2560 nt
Organism: Leptonychotes weddellii (Weddell seal)
Lineage: Eukaryota; Metazoa; Chordata; Mammalia; Carnivora; Phocidae
Source: RefSeq, a predicted model, not a curated record
GAUAAUCAAGCCCUGGGAAUGCUCACGCACGAACAUGGUACUAGACGCGCCGAUGAGAGCAUGCAGUGUGAUUCAGUGGCUCGUGCCUAGCCCAGUUGUCUUCAUGCGAGAGCCGCAGCUGUGGAGUGAGCCCAAGCAUCUGCAGAUCUGACCCUAGGAAAUGGCGUUUAUUUGGAAACUUCACACUUUGUCCCAAGUCAUCUUCACUCCGAACUGACUCCACAUUUCUCUGCAAAUAGACUAACUUCCUGAGAUCCUGCUUUCACCAUCUAAUCUACAUCUUCAAUGUUGCAACACCCUUGAUUUGGCUCUCUUACUACCUCUACCUGAUGAAGGUGCGCUGAAGACCUCCCCUGUCGCAAGGCUGAUGUCCUCACAGUGGCCAAGAAAGUGUUGGAAAAUGUGUUUCCCACUUGGGGUAUACCUUCUAUAAUCUCCAGUGAUCAAGGUACCCACCUCAUUGGGCAAAUCAUAUAAGCCUUAACAAACACCUUGCAAACCUCUUGGGAUUACCACUGUCCCUAUCACCCUUUAAUCAUCAGGUAAGGUUGAGAGAACUAGAGAGAUCCUUUAAACUUAAAUGUCUAAACUUGCAGACACCACUGGAUUUCCAUGGCCCACAGUAUUGUCUUUGGUCUUGCUGACUGUUCAUAGUACUCCCUUUGGGAAAGUCACUCUAUAGAAGACAGUCGCUGGUAGAUCAAUGUCUAUCAGUAUAUAACCUUCUGCUGAAGAUACACAACUUUCAUGCUAGGAUGUCCAGCUACAGUAAGUCUUAUGCUUAUGUCUUCUGUUUAAGCAUAUCAUCAGCAGAUUAAAGAAGCUUUGCUGAAUCCCAUUUCAAGGAAUCCUGUUGGUCACAGUCUAGAGCCUGGUAACCGGGACUUCUGGAAGUGUCAUCAGAGGAGGACAGCCUCACUGUGCCUCAUGGGAAGGGAGCUUCCCAAGUGCUCCCGAACACAAUAUACUGCAAAACUAGAACACACUGAGCCUUGGGUACAUGUCUCACUGAUAAAGAAGGCUCCACCUGAUAUCAGGCCCUAGGCAGAUGAUACAGACCUACAAACUGAAUUGACAAGGAAGAGAAGUGGCUGACAUCGAAGUAGACUGCUUUCACCCAAGAUGCUGGAUCAAGACCUCAUACUUAAACUAAACAUGAAACCCUUUCUCCUUUUUCUUUUCUUUACUCUGGCGUUGGCCUGGAGAGAUAAUGCCCUCAUUGUAUCCCUCAGGCCAUUGCUAAGUUUGAGAGGGGAUUGGUUAACUCUCAGAUUGCUAGAUUUGUCAUGAUGCAAGAGAUCCUACCCGGGACCAAUUUCUCUUUGAAUCUCAAUGUCAAUCCUCCCUUCCCCCUGCCCCAUCCCCCACUUAGAAGUAUGUACCCAGUUAGACACAUUUACCUAUGUGAAUCUUAGCGCAUUUGGAUCCUUCUGUUCCCAUGAUUAUCUAGACCAGAUCCGUCCCCACUCGCUGAGAGAGCUCACCAGCAGCACCCAUCUUUAUAAGGCACUUAAGAUGACUUUUUAUUUCAGGUUUGGAGAUUCCUUUCCUAUAUAUGCUAAAACCCUGACUGACCCCCGGUUUAGGAGUAAAUACAAAUGAGAAUAUGAUUAGAAACUUCUCCUGAACUCUUGGAGCCCCUGCAGAGUCUGUUGUUAAGACACUAGCUGCCCAGCAAAGAUCCUUAGAGUCUCUGGCCAAAGCGUUUGGAGUAAGGAGGUGUCUGAGCUGGGCCAACAGAACCUGCUGUACCUGAACUAACACUUCUGCGGAAGAUGCAACUCAGUUAUGUAAGAGUUCCGAGAACGCCACUUGGCUUAAAAGGGUGACUUCUUCAGUGGGGUCAUUCUUUGGUUCAGUCUUGGGGACCAUGGCCCUGAAGUGCACUCCAAAUGUUGGGAAUUAUCCUGCUUAUAGUUACAGUAACCUCCCUGGUGUGCUGUAUUCUCCUAAGGGCUUUAAAUGCAUGUUUGCAGCCACCAACCACCAAGCCAAUGAUCUCCCUGAGGCUGGAAUGACAGAAAAGGAGCAAAGAGAAUGACCAACUAAAAAACUGUGAGCCUGAAGUCAUGACUCACGAGUGCCACAGAGAGUCAGCAAAACCCAGGAUGAAUGAAAGCUUCGAGAACUAGAGCCGUAGCUGAGAGUGGUGCUAAUGCCUUGAAUUUCGAUCACAUCUCUCAGUUAGGCUGAGAGUUGGAUCAAAAGAGGGGGGACUGUUAAAAAGAAACAACAGGCCCCAAAUGGAGUCCCCAAGACUUCAUGUCUAACCUAACUGCAGUUUCAGCCUCGCUGGGUUUUAAACUCAUCAUGCUGGAAUUUCCAGAUCGGCCCCAGUGAGGUAAUCUGCACAAGACCCCCUGCCCUUUCCCCAAGGGGAAGGUGACCUUGCCUGAAACCAUCCUUUCUUUUCUUCUGCUAGUUAACUUCCUUGUCCCACCCCAUUCUGCCUAUCAAAGCCUUCCAUUUUAUACAACUCCUUGGAACAGCCUCCUAUUUGUUAGAUGGGAUGCUGCUGACUCCUGAGUCUUAAAUAAAGCCAAUUAGCUCUUUCAAUUUA